This 425-nucleotide ribosomal RNA is filed under the name uncultured bacterium. RNAcentral describes it as "bacterial SSU rRNA". It matches the Rfam family "Bacterial small subunit ribosomal RNA", at positions 356 to 773 of the family's 1533-position model. The record is from RNAcentral.
GGGGAAUUUUGGACAAUGGGCGCAAGCCUGAUCCAGCCAUGCCGCGUGCGGGAAGAAGGCCUUCGGGUUGUAAACCGCUUUCGGACGGAAAGAAAUCGCUUGGGUUAAUACCCUGAGUGGAUGACGGUACCGUAAGAAGAAGCACCGGCUAACUACGUGCCAGCAGCCGCGGUAAUACGUAGGGUGCGAGCGUUAAUCGGAAUUACUGGGCGUAAAGCGUGCGCAGGCGGAUUGUUAAGCAAGAUGUGAAAUCCCCGGGCUUAACCUGGGAAUUGCAUUUUGAACUGGCAGUCUGGAGUGCGGCAGAGGGGGGUGGAAUUCCACGUGUAGCAGUGAAAUGCGUAGAGAUGUGGAGGAACACCGAUGGCGAAGGCAGCCCCCUGGGCCUGCACUGACGCUCAUGCACGAAAGCGUGGGGAGCAAAC